Molecule: ribosomal RNA, 513 nt
Filed under: uncultured Bacillus sp.
Lineage: Bacteria; Bacillati; Bacillota; Bacilli; Caryophanales; Bacillaceae
Description: bacterial SSU rRNA
Rfam family: Bacterial small subunit ribosomal RNA
Source: RNAcentral
GAACGCUGGCGGCGUGCCUAAUACAUGCAAGUCGAGCGGACAGAAGGGAGCUUGCUCCCGGAUGUUAGCGGCGGACGGGUGAGUAACACGUGGGUAACCUGCCUGUAAGACUGGGAUAACUCCGGGAAACCGGAGCUAAUACCGGAUAGUUCCUUGAACCGCAUGGUUCAAGGAUGAAAGACGGUUUCGGCUGUCACUUACAGAUGGACCCGCGGCGCAUUAGCUAGUUGGUGAGGUAACGGCUCACCAAGGCGACGAUGCGUAGCCGACCUGAGAGGGUGAUCGGCCACACUGGGACUGAGACACGGCCCAGACUCCUACGGGAGGCAGCAGUAGGGAAUCUUCCGCAAUGGACGAAAGUCUGACGGAGCAACGCCGCGUGAGUGAUGAAGGUUUUCGGAUCGUAAAGCUCUGUUGUUACGGAAGAACAAGUGCAAGAGUAACUGCUUGCCCUUUGACGGUACCUAACCAGAAAGCCACGGCUAACUACGUGCCAGCAGCCGCGGUAAUACC